UACGUAGGGGGGCAAGCGUUGUCCGGAUUUAUUGGGCGUAAAGAGCGUGUAGGCGGUUUGGUAGGUCCGUUGUGAAAACUCGAGGCUCAACCUCGAGACGUCGGUUGAAACCACCUGGCUAGAGUCCGGAAGAGGAGAGUGGAAUUCCUGGUGUAGCGGUGAAAUGCGCAGAUAUCAGGAAGAACACCCGUGGCGAAGGCGGCUCUCUGGGACGGUACUGACGCUGAGACGCGAAAGCGUGGGGAGCGAACAGG
This 254-nucleotide ribosomal RNA is filed under the name uncultured bacterium. RNAcentral describes it as "partial 16S ribosomal RNA". It matches the Rfam family "Bacterial small subunit ribosomal RNA", at positions 524 to 776 of the family's 1533-position model. The record is from RNAcentral.